This 475-nucleotide long non-coding RNA is filed under the name Lathyrus oleraceus (garden pea). RNAcentral describes it as "Pisum sativum (pea) long non-coding RNA (PSAT_LNC020498)". Lineage: Eukaryota; Viridiplantae; Streptophyta; Magnoliopsida; Fabales; Fabaceae. The record is from RNAcentral.
AAUAGUUACGUGUUAUGUAGGGUUUGUUUUUUCCCUCUUUAUUCUAUUUAGUGUGUCGUUAUCUUGUAUAUAUAUAAACAUAUAUAUAAGAAUCAAAUAUGAAUAACCCAUACAUCAUAUUUAAAACAUUUUUAAACAAUUUGUCUACGAUUUCAAUGAAUAACUCGUAAAAUACAACUAGAACUAGUUAAGUUAUUUUUAGGUUGAUUUUUCUAUUUUGUUAUCUAUUUUUCUGUGUUUUUUAAUAGUUACGUGUUAUGUAGGGUUUGUUUUUUCCCUCUUUAUUCUAGUUAGUUUGUCGUUAUCUUGUAUAUAUAUAAACAUAUAAAUAAGUAUCAAAUAUGAAUAACCCAUACAUCAUAUUUAAAACAUUUUUAAACAAUUGGUUUAUGAUUUCAAUGAAUAACUCGUAAAAUACAACUAGAACUAGUUAUGUUAUUUUUAGGAUGAUUUUUCUAUUUAUGUUAUCUCUUUU